GGAAGCACCGGCUAACUCCGUGCCAGCAGCCGCGGUAAUACGGRGGGUGCAAGCGUUGUUCGGAWUUAUUGGGCGUAAAGCGCGUGUAGGCGGUUUSUUWAGUCUGAUGUGAAAGCCCUGGGCUCAACCCAGGAAGUGCAUUGGAUACUGKSAGACUUGAAUACGGGAGAGGGUAGUGGAAUUCCUAGUGUAGGAGUGAAAUCCGUAGAUAUUAGGAGGAACACCGGUGGCGAAGGCGGCUACCUGGACCGAUAUUGACGCUGAGACGCGAAAGCGUGGGKAGCAAACAGGAUUAGAUACCCUGGUAGWMCACGCCGUAAACGAUGAGAACUAGGUGUCGCGGSYMMYUUGACC
RNAcentral lists this ribosomal RNA (354 nucleotides) under uncultured Geobacteraceae bacterium. RNAcentral describes it as "partial 16S ribosomal RNA". It matches the Rfam family "Bacterial small subunit ribosomal RNA", at positions 486 to 839 of the family's 1533-position model. The record is from RNAcentral. Lineage: Bacteria; Pseudomonadati; Thermodesulfobacteriota; Desulfuromonadia; Geobacterales; Geobacteraceae.